This 437-nucleotide ribosomal RNA is filed under the name uncultured Pseudoflavonifractor sp. RNAcentral's name for it is "partial 16S ribosomal RNA". It matches the Rfam family "Bacterial small subunit ribosomal RNA", at positions 341 to 792 of the family's 1533-position model. The record is from RNAcentral. Lineage: Bacteria; Bacillati; Bacillota; Clostridia; Eubacteriales; Oscillospiraceae.
ACGGAAGGCAGCAGUGGGGAAUAUUGGGCAAUGGGGGAAACCCUGACCCAGCAACGCCGCGUGAAGGAAGAAGGCUUUCGGGUUGUAAACUUCUUUUACCAGGGACGAAGGACGUGACGGUACCUGGAGAAAAAGCCACGGCUAACUACGUGCCAGCAGCCGCGGUAAUACGUAGGUGGCAAGCGUUGUCCGGAUUUACUGGGUGUAAAGGGCGUGUAGGCGGAGAUGCAAGUCAGAAGUGAAAUCUAGGGGCUUAACCCCUAACCUGCUUUUGAAACUGUAUCCCUUGAGUAUCGGAGAGGCAGGCGGAAUUCCUAGUGUAGCGGUGAAAUGCGUAGAUAUUAGGAGGAACACCGGUGGCGAAGGCAGCCUGCUGGACGACAACUGACGCUGAGGCGCGAAAGCGUGGGUAGCAAACAGGAUUAGAUACCCUGGUA